UUUAAGUGCAACCAUGAGUUUCCGCGUCCAACUUUGAUCGUCCGUCUUAUUUUUUUUAUAAUUAGUAUUUUUGUUGUUAUGAGAUGAUAAAACAUGAAUAGUACUUUACUCAUAACUUAUGUUUUUAAUUUUUUUUAAAAAAAAUUCAAAUGAGACGGCGAUCAAAGUUGGGCGUGAAAAACCAUAGCUGCACUUAAA
Oryza sativa Japonica Group (Japanese rice) is the source of this 198-nucleotide microRNA precursor. It matches the Rfam family "MIR812 microRNA precursor family". NCBI's taxonomy places the organism in Eukaryota, Viridiplantae, Streptophyta, Magnoliopsida, Poales, Poaceae. The record is from Rfam.